Non-coding RNA from Cordylochernes scorpioides, 74 nucleotides. The record is from the annotation of a GenBank genome assembly. NCBI's taxonomy places the organism in Eukaryota, Metazoa, Arthropoda, Arachnida, Pseudoscorpiones, Chernetidae.
UGUCCAGGGGCGGGAAUCGAACCCACAACCUUCUGCUUACCGGGCAGGUGCCAUGUCCACUAGGCUACCAGUUC